UUUCGACGGUAAGGUAUUGGCUUACCGUGGCAGUGACGGUUAACGGGGGAUUAGGGUUCAAUUCCGGAGAGGGAGCCUGAGAAACGGCUACCACAUCUAAGGAAGGCAGCAGGCGCGCAAAUUACCCAAUUCUAACAGCAUAAGAGAGGUAGUGACAAGAAAUAACAGUACAAGGCAGUUAAAAUGCUUUGUAAUUGGAAUGAUAGAAAUUUAAAUACUUUUUAAAGUAUCAAUUGGAGGGCAAGUCUGGUGCCAGCAGCCGCGGUAAUUCCAGCUCCAAUAGCGUAUAUUAAAAUUGUUGCAGUUAAAAAGCUCGUAGUUGAAUUUUUGCUAAAAAUAACCGGUCUGCUUUUAUUAAUAAAAGUGGUAUCUUGGUGUGUUUUUAGCAAUAAUGUCCUUUGAAAUGUUUUUUACUUUAUUGUAAAAAACAAUUUUCAGGAUUUUUACUUUGAGAAAAUUAGAGUGUUUCAAGCAGGCUAACGUUUUGAAUACUGCAGCAUGGAAUAAUAAAAUAGGAUUUUAGUUCUACGUUAUUGGUUUUAAGAACUAAAUUAAUGAUUGAUAGGAGCAGUUGGGGGCAUUUGUAUUUAACUGUCAGAGGUGA
RNAcentral lists this ribosomal RNA (604 nucleotides) under Hepatozoon sp. Its description in RNAcentral is "SSU rRNA". It matches the Rfam family "Eukaryotic small subunit ribosomal RNA", at positions 320 to 914 of the family's 1831-position model. The record is from RNAcentral. Lineage: Eukaryota; Apicomplexa; Hepatozoidae.